GUCUUUUUGAUUAUAAUUUAAAGUCUGACCUGCCCAAUGAAUUUUUAAAUGGCCGCGGUAUUUUGACCGUGCAAAGGUAGCAUAAUCAUUAGUUUUUUAAUUGAAAGCUAGAAUGAAAGGUUGGACGAGAAAAUAACUGUCUCAAUUUAGUUAAAUUAGAAUUUUAUUUUUAAGUUAAAAAGCUUAAAUUUUUUUAAAAGACGAGAAGACCCUAUAGAGUUUAAUAUUUUUAUAAUUUUUAAUUUUUAUAAUCUAAUAUAUUUAUAAAAAUAUUUUAUUGGGGUGAUAAAUAAAUUUAAUUAACUUUAUUUUUUUUUUUACAUAAAUUUAUGAAUUGAUGAUCCAUUAUUAAUGAUUAUAAGAUUAAAUUACCUUAGGGAUAACAGCGUAAUUUUUUUAGAGAGUUCAAAUCGAAAAAUAAGAUUGCGACCUCGAUGUUGGAUUAAAGUAAAUUUUUGGUGUAGAAGCUAAUAUAUUAAGUCUGUUCGACUUUUAAUACUUUACAUGAUCUGAGUUCAGACCGGCGUGAGCCAGGUUGGUUUCUAUCUUUAAAAUAAUAAAAUAUUUUAGUACGAAAGGACCAAGUAUUUAUAAUAAUUAUUGUUAUAUGAAUAU
Molecule: ribosomal RNA, 615 nt
Filed under: Ochthebius serpentinus
Lineage: Eukaryota; Metazoa; Arthropoda; Insecta; Coleoptera; Hydraenidae
Description: partial 16S ribosomal RNA
Rfam family: Bacterial large subunit ribosomal RNA
Source: RNAcentral